Molecule: long non-coding RNA, 358 nt
Organism: Passer domesticus (house sparrow)
Lineage: Eukaryota; Metazoa; Chordata; Aves; Passeriformes; Passeridae
Exons: 4
Source: RefSeq, a predicted model, not a curated record
GCCGGGAAGGCUUCUCCAUCAGCUUGGAUGAAUAAAGUUUUGAAGCCCUUGGAGCCUCCUGCAGAUGUGUCUACAGGGAGGACUUCUCCAGCUUCUCCAGCUCCUACCUUGGAUGCUAUACGCAAGCCCAGCUCCCAUCACAGUGUUACUCUAACAGGGAAAAUCCAAGAUACAACAGAUAAGAUGUCCCUGCAACCAUCCAAACAGAUGAGGAAAGAGCUGAAGGAACCCCUGCAGACAAGAGAAGAGAUGGACAUAGUGCUUCAGUGGAAGGUGGCAUUUCUUAAAGGAAGCACUCCAUCUUCGGUGCCGGCCCCUGCUGCAGGAAAGCAGGCAAAGCCAGACACGGGCACAGGCA